CCUACGGGAGGCAGUGGGGAAUUUUGGACAAUGGGCGCAAGCCUGAUCCAGCAAUGCCGCGUGAGUGAAGAAGGCCUUCGGGUUGUAAAGCUCUUUUGUCAGGGAAGAAACGGUGGGGGCUAAUAUCUCCUGCUAAUGACGGUACCUGAAGAAUAAGCACCGGCUAACUACGUGCCAGCAGCCGCGGUAAUACGUAGGGUGCAAGCGUUAAUCGGAAUUACUGGGCGUAAAGCGUGCGCAGGCGGUUUUGUAAGUUUGUCGUGAAAUCCCCGGGCUCAACCUGGGAAUGGCGAUGAGGACUGCAAGGCUAGAAUCUGGCAGAGGGGGGUAGAAGUUCCACGUGUAGCAGUGAAAUGCGUAGAGAUGUGGAGGAACACCGAUGGCGAAGGCAGCCCCCUGGGUCCAAGAUUGACGCUCAUGCACGAAAGCGUGGGGAGCGAAACAGGAUUAGAUACCCUGGUAGUCCACGCCCUAAACGAUGUCUACUAGUUGUCGGGUUUUAAUUAACUUGGUAACGCAGCUAACGCGUGAAGUAGACCGCCUGGGGAUACGGGUCGCAAGNUUAAAACUCAAAAGGAUUGACGGCUGAGACGNGCGAGACGACGACGAGGGAGAGG
RNAcentral lists this ribosomal RNA (617 nucleotides) under uncultured bacterium. RNAcentral's name for it is "bacterial SSU rRNA". It matches the Rfam family "Bacterial small subunit ribosomal RNA", at positions 338 to 947 of the family's 1533-position model. The record is from RNAcentral.